Molecule: long non-coding RNA, 1754 nt
Organism: Zootermopsis nevadensis
Lineage: Eukaryota; Metazoa; Arthropoda; Insecta; Blattodea; Termopsidae
Source: RefSeq, a predicted model, not a curated record
CAGAUUUCGUGCGUGGUGCAAGCAGUGUAUAUUUGUGAAAAGAAAGUGAAACGUCCUGAAUACUUCCCCACCACCAUGAUCACCUAUGCCUUUAUAUGGAUGUCACUCUCUUUGGCCGUAUAUGGUUACAAUGCGGACAUUGUAAUUACGACAGAGAAAUCUUACACCUUCUGUACUGAAUUCAUAUCAUUAUCUCUUCAGCAUGGUCUACGGAGGUUAAUUAAUGUCAUUAUUACUAUUAGUAUGUGCAGAAAACUCGGAAUAUUUAUUCCGUUGUUUCUAUAACCCACUGAAAACCGAAUGACAGCGAGAACAAUGCUGCGUUUUAAUUGAUUUGUACUUACACUAGUUUCAGUGCACCUUACUACACAGCAUAGCCAAUUCUACCGAUAUCUCUAGCCCAGUGGGAUUCAUUAAUUCCCUCAUCAAGUAUGUAUUUAAGCUAUAUUAACGAAACUAACUAAUCAAGCAUGCGUUUAAGCUACAAUAACCGAUCAGGCCCCAAUAUUGUUUCUGUUUUAUCCAUAUGGAGAAGGGUCUCUUUUGCUGGUUGAGAGAUUCUCCUUAUCGUCAUAAUAAAUGCCCACAGUUGAACUUCCUAGUGUUACAUCCUAUGGGUCCGAUAAAAUUUCAGGCAAACAUUAUAAAUCAAAUUACUCAAACAACAAAUAUUUUACACUAUGGUACCGGUGUUUCAAAGGACGGCAAAAGAUUUAUCGGAAAUACAAAUAUGAACAUGAUAUAAGAUCAAGACGUAAUAAUACAAUAGCCAAAAUUAAUUUUAAGAGUUCGAACUGAAAUACUGGACUAAAAUAUACAACAAACAGCAACAAAAUAGGAUUCAAGAUGUAGAAGCAUGGUAGAAAAAUGGAUGACGGCUUCUACAUCGGCAUCGAGGUUCGAAAAGAGAAAUAAAAUUUACCACCUUUGGAAUAUCGAUGAAUAUCGCAAACUCAUGUAGCAGAAUGUAUGAACACACGUCUUUUCUCAGGUUAAAUUUGAACGCUAUACAUUGUUUUGUAGAUUUUCCCCAAAACUGCUGUGUAAGGCAUUCGUAUAACAUGUCACAAAAGUGGGUCGCUUCCGGGAAAAGAAGAAUUUCUUGCAGCAGUUCAUGAAUAAAAACGAAAAGUUCUCGCCUAGACUAUGUUUUACAAUUGACUGACAAGUACAGACACAUUAAAACAGUAAACAACUUGAUAAAUAGUCUUUCCAAUGAUUAUCCAUUUUAUGGCUUAUUUGCACUAUAUGGAACCUGUCUGCAAGAAGCAGUGGAGAAUAACUUGAGUUGGCUCAAAAAUGGUUAAAGCAAGAUUAUACACCGAGACAUGCAGAAAGUCUUUGCGUGUUAGUAGUAGGGCUACACUACUAUUUCAAGAAUGUUUUCUGUUCCUCCACAUGUUGUUGUGCUCGUGUAAUAUGUUUGGAAGUGCCUGAGGUAAAGUUGUUAAUCAGCUUCCUUGGAUGUUGUAUAAUACGUUUGGGAUUGUUCAGGAUUUGCGGAUAAGUUGAAAUAACUAGGUAUUCCAAUUGUAGAAGAUAGUCAGUUCGUAUUUUCUAAUAAGAAGAGUUUUAUUCAAAACUCAAGACAAAGAACAAAGGUGUAUAGUAAAGUUGAACAGUAAAGUUACACGAAGUAUAUGCUAUGACUUCAAGAUCACCUUCUGCUGCUGUGCCUUGGGGUCAUAAGCUUAUAUAGAACAUCAAACGAGAUGGGGUUUUUGGUGGGGGUGAACAGUCAGGUCAAGAGGUUU